GCCUGAGUGGCUCAGUCGGUUGAGCGUCUGACUUCGGCUCAGGACAUGAUCUCACGGUUCGUGAGUUCGAGCCCCGCGUCGGGCU
This 85-nucleotide transfer RNA is filed under the name Felis catus (domestic cat). It matches the Rfam family "tRNA". From Rfam's summary of the family: Transfer RNA (tRNA) molecules are approximately 80 nucleotides in length. Their secondary structure includes four short double-helical elements and three loops (D, anti-codon, and T loops). Lineage: Eukaryota; Metazoa; Chordata; Mammalia; Carnivora; Felidae. The record is from Rfam by way of RNAcentral.